RNAcentral lists this transfer RNA (65 nucleotides) under Dipodomys ordii (Ord's kangaroo rat). It matches the Rfam family "tRNA". From Rfam's summary of the family: Transfer RNA (tRNA) molecules are approximately 80 nucleotides in length. Their secondary structure includes four short double-helical elements and three loops (D, anti-codon, and T loops). Further hydrogen bonds mediate the characteristic L-shaped molecular structure. tRNAs have two regions of fundamental functional importance: the anti-codon, which is responsible for specific mRNA codon recognition, and the 3' end, to which the tRNAs corresponding amino acid is attached (by aminoacyl-tRNA synthetases). tRNAs cope with the degeneracy of the genetic code in two manners: having more than one tRNA (with a specific anti-codon) for a particular amino acid; and 'wobble' base-pairing, i.e. permitting non-standard base-pairing at the 3rd anti-codon position. The record is from Rfam by way of RNAcentral. Lineage: Eukaryota; Metazoa; Chordata; Mammalia; Rodentia; Heteromyidae.
GGUGGCUCAGUGGUAAAGCACUUGCCUUGCAUGCAGGAGGCCCUGGGUUCGAUUCCUCAGCACCA